UAAAUAGAGAGAGAGAGAGAGAGAGCAUAGAAGAGAAGAGAGAAGUGUAAGGCUCUGCAUAGUUUGAGCGCCGUCGUUAAUGGCGGAAUUCCGGUGACGCGCCGUCGCUGGUAUUAAAAGUGGUUUUGAUUGCAUGAGAUAAGAAAGAAGAAGAUCAUGGAUAGAACCAGAGAAUCCAGAAGAUCAUCCAUGGCCACCUCCACCAACGGAUUUCCCAGACGCAGACAUCGAACUAUUGCUCUCAGAGACUCUUCCGAGGAAGGUGCUGUGGAGUUGAGAGAAGGUGCGAGUAAGAGAGGAAGGAAUCGAGAUAGGGAUAGGGAUUCGGCGAACAGGAGCAAGAGGAGGAGAGGCUCUCACUCGCAAAGCACCGAAGAGAGCGUCGGAAACGAACAAGACGUCGACGUUGUGGACGUUGGCGUUUCUAAGAUCCGUUCCCCUAAUUAUACGACAUCGUCGUUCGCCUCCGAUCACAACCAUCGCCGGAGCUUCACGCCGGCGAAACCUCCGUCGUUCAAGAUAACGGAUGAGAUGAUCGGCGUGACCGUUCCGAGAAAGGCUCGUUCAGCAUCUGCGAAAAGGUCUCACGAAAGUUGGAUUUCCGCAAGCAGCGGUGGGGAGGAGCUGAAUUUCCGGCAACGGUCGAAUUCCCCCGGAGGACAGAGUGUUGAACCGGCCUCACCUUCUUCUUCGAAUGUUUCUCGUAGGAAGAAGAUGAAAGAGAUUGAACCUGUUUCUAAGCCAUCAAAAUCGUCUUCGUCAGACCUCGAGAUUGAGAUAGCUGAGCUUCUGUAUGGUUUGAAGACUUCGAAGAGCCACGAGUCUUCUAAAAAGUUUGAAGCAAGCGUCAGUCCCUCUGAUGAUGGUGAGAAGAAGAAAAUGGAAGACAACGACAAUUCUUCCACCCUUGUUCCAAAUAAUUCAACUAAAGAGUUAAGCAGGAUUCCGAUUGAGCAACAUGCUGAUGUGGAUUAUCAUGUUUGUCCAUCAUUAGAGGCACCAAAAGAGGACAUUGGGGAAGACAGAAUGAAUUCAAGUGCUGGGUUUGGGGAUGCUUCAGCAGAUGGAAGAUCGGUUUCCCCUACUAAGGAAUCGCCAUCAUGCUCCAAGUUGGAUGCUGAGAAACCAUAUUCAUCUUCAAACAGAGUGAUGUCUGCUUUUCCAGAGGCCAAAGCCCAACGAGUAGGCAAGUUUGAGAUAGAUCUGAUGGCUCCUCCUCCUAUGGGGCUGUCCCCAGAAGUGGAUGACUUGUCAAGGGGUGAUUUCAUAUCAGAAACUAAAGCUUUGGCACCGGAUGUGGAAAUGAAGAAGGAAGAUAGUGUCAAGGUGGAAAGACCAGUUAAGAAGGAGAAAACUCCAGAAGAAAUUGAAGAGGCAAAAAUGGUAACAUUUAAGGAGAAGUUUGAUGUGCUAAAACAUGAUUUCGAGAAGCAAAACAAUGCCAAUGACAUAAAGACAAACAAUAAAUUGGAAGAGCAGGAUGGGAAUAGGGAACUAGCUACUAUAUCAUCAAAUCCCAAAGAAGAGAUAACCGUUCAAUCUACUUCAAUGCCUUUAUCAACAGCUGAAUCAGGACGGCAGAGCAGUCUCUCUCCCAUUGGACACAAGCCGCCCUUGCAGCCAGUUUCAAAGACGGACAAAACCACAGGAUCAUUGACACUAAAGCAUGCGAAUUUUGUCCUCUCUCAACGGCAACCCAAGAGAUGUGCAACCCAUUAUUACAUUGCUUGUAACAUCUUACACCAGCAGUGUACAAAGAUGAAGCCCCCUUUGCCAGCAGCUAUUGGCUCUGGUUCUGUGUGUGACACAAAGCACAAUAAUGUCAACUGUGUGCCCUAUGCAGAAAGUAUGGCCUUUGGGAAGCAAUCUCAAAAACACUUACCAAUUGUAAACCAAAAUGCUUCACAAGAGAAAGGGUGGGCUGCGACCAGCAUUCCUAGUCUUACUGCAGCCAAAGGUUCUAAUAAUGUCAAACCAAUGGAUUCAGCUCAUAGGGUGCAGCUUGUGCUCCAGCAAGGUCCAAAUCCUGGUCCAACUGGUAAUCUAGUGCAUGGUCCUGCUUUCCUCUAUCCUCCAGGCCAGCAUCAAGCGUCAGUUACAGCAACUUCUAAUCAGGCAGGAGCUGUGAAUUCCCCUAACAGCACUUCCUCAUAUAAUAAAUCCCAUAGUUCAGUUGGCGGAUCUCCUGGUACCUCCUCAACUUUGCCAGUAGUUGCUCCUGGAAUAAGCUUUAGCUACCCAAAUUUUUCAGCCAAUGGUUCUUCUCCAUAUAUGACAAUAGUUCACAAUAAUGGGUAUUCAUUCCCUUUUUCAACUUCUCUUGGAGCAACUGCAGCAAUCAGAGGCGCAAGCCCUCCACAAGCAACACAUGUGCUUAGUGGGCCUUUCUACUCUUCUCAAAUGUUCCAUCCACAGCAACACCCUCAGUCACAAGCACUGGUUCAACCAAGUUAUCUUAAUGCAAGCACAUCAAGUAGUUCGUCAUCUCAUAAACAGUCACCAGGUGCACAAGUUAAUGGCAGUAAUAUUUUGACCUCUACAACUAUGGAACUGCAGUCACAAAAGCGACAGACUUCACUGUCUCAUCUUCGCAAGCAUGAGACUGAGAUGGGUGGAGGGAAUGCACCUUCAGUUGCUAAUCGAACAUCUUACUCACAGAAGAACGUGCAUGGCCAAAACUUUACAAUUCCAGUGCAACCAGUGAACUUUUCUUUUAAGCCAUCUGCAACAUCGGAUAUUGUUGGCAAUGGUGGAUGUUUUGGUGACAAACAACAGCAGCAACAGGCUUUAAAGGGAGGAGUAGAGAAUAUACCAUCUCAAGCAUUUGCAAUAUCAUUUGCUGCAUUUAAUGGGACCAGUGUUCCUUCAAACCUUAACUUCUCAUCCAUGGCACAGAAUCCUGUGAUACUUCAAAGCCUGCCUGAUAUGGCAUGGCAAGGAUAUCAAGCUGCAAGCAUUCCUCAGACUACUCAGCAAAAGACUUGUUCAAUAACUGAAGCAAAGAGUGGAGGAAAUUCUUCACACCAAGAUGAUGAAAAGAAAAUCACUCAUGCUAAGUCUUCCAGCAAUGGGCCAACGACCCUUGUUUUUGAUAAUUCAUCUAAGAAUCUUAACUUUGUGCUAUCUACUACGAAUGGAAACUGGUCUAAUCACACCAUUCCUUCAACUGCAAUAACAAGUGUGCCACUCUCUAGUAAUGCUUCAAGUUCUCAACAGCCACCGCAUUUGCUUCAGCUUCCAAAGCAGCAUGCUAUGCAACAGCAGCAAGCUGCUAUGGCAUCUCGAUAUAAAGCAUCAUCUGCCAAUAGCACUCCUGCUGCAAAAUUUGCAAACAAUGCCCCCGUUUUCUCACAAACUCCUUCUCAAUGCAGAAGUUCUAACCAAGCUUCUCACUCUAAGGCCUCGGGUAGAACUACAGAUUCUCAUGUUCAUCACACAUCUAUCAUAACAUCAAAUGCUCCAACCCUCAAAAGUUUUUCCCAGGAACAAGGGAGAGUUUUGCCAGGUCAUAUGCAAAUUUCUUUUGGGGGAAAUUACAUAACGCCCCUGCCACCCCAAGGGCAACCACUACUCAGUAACAACCAGCCUUUGUGUACAACAGCUCAAGGAACUCCAUAUAGUGGGGCCAAUGCAAAGUCAAAUUUGGAAGGAAGUAAAGCUAGUUCGUCGGUGAACGCAUCACAACUGCAACAAACUGAAAAUUCAGCUGGGAGUGGCCAAAAAUCUUCACCAGUUUGUGGGAGAAAUGUCCCAUCAAUAUUGAGUUCAUGCCCCAGCCACCUAUCAGAGCUAAAGUAUUAGAAAUCAAGUCAUAUACGGCACCAAGAUCGACGGAAUUUUCUGCAGUUGCACUCCUAAUCAUAUGUUCUGGGGGCCCUUGCUGCUCUGCUUCAUGUUCACCAACAAUUCAGGCUGCUCAAUAAGAUUGAAGAAAAAAAAGUUUUGGUAGCCAGGUGCUGGAGUUUUGCUUGCAGCUCUUUUCUAAGGUGUCAAUGAUAUGAGGUGUAAAAAGCAAUGUUGAUGUGGGAUAUGCUCAACUCAAUAUCAGUGUUGUGACAAGGCACAUGGAAUGACAUUUGCUGGUGGGAUAAGGAAAGGAAGUUGGGAUCCAUUAGGCCUGCAAUUUUGAAAUACUUCAAUUUCCCUGAACUCAGCAGCUAGCAUUCCUUGGCUAUGAACAACAAAACAUGAUAUGAUGAUGAUACCCAGACGUUUUGGCCGUGAAGGGACAGGUCCUUUGCAUGUAAGGUUUGGAGCAAGACUGACCAAAUACUACAGUUUCCUUUGUCGAUUGAAAUAGAAUCAAAGUUCAGACAUGAUAUGCGCCAAACAGUCAUAAUAUAACGUGACACUUGGUCUGUUGGAUAAGGGAAUAGAGUCUAUUUAGGGUCCUGGUGUGUUUCGGAUGCUUAUAAUGCCUCUCGUUUGAGAUCAUGGUCCUAGGAAUUGGAAUAUAUAUAAAGGGGUGAUCCUUAUAACAA
Molecule: RNA transcript, 4481 nt
Organism: Glycine soja
Lineage: Eukaryota; Viridiplantae; Streptophyta; Magnoliopsida; Fabales; Fabaceae
Gene name: protein TIME FOR COFFEE-like
Exons: 14
Source: RefSeq, a predicted model, not a curated record